RNAcentral lists this long non-coding RNA (1701 nucleotides) under Pongo abelii (Sumatran orangutan). RNAcentral's name for it is "lincRNA". Lineage: Eukaryota; Metazoa; Chordata; Mammalia; Primates; Hominidae. The record is from RNAcentral.
CUCAACCACUCUUGCUUUGCAUUUGAGAAUUUAAGUCACUUGACCAAAGUCGAACAACAGUGAUUAUAUAACUACAGUGAUUCUGGCGUGUUCUCAACAAAUAAUAACCUCAGAAACAAGUAGGCACUUGGAGACAUUGGGCUGUGGAUUCAGGUUGCCUAGGUUUGAAUCCUAGUCCCAAAAUUUACUAAGGCUCUCUGAUAGUGGGCACGUUAUUUAACUUCCUCAGACCUGUUUCCCCAUCUACAAAAUUGGAUUACCUGUGCUCCAAGGUUUGUGAUCUAGAAUUCAAUUAAUAAAUUCAGGCAAAUUAUUCCAAUUAUAUUAAGCACUAGUACUCAAAGCUGACAUUUGAGGCUCAAAUGGAGUGUCUUCUUAGCUUUUGUCUCCUGUCAUUUCAGCCCUAAGCCGAAAUCCAAAAAUAAUGGGAAAAUUCUAUGCCCUGAUAUAACACAGAAUUUUAAAGGAAGCUACAAUAUCCCAUACUCCUUGCUUCAUACUCUAGAAUCCAUUUAAAUGAGGUUUAAAAUUGUUCUGGUUGAGUCAUUCCUUCCAGUCAAGGCAUAUUCUAUCUGAAGGACUCAAAUUAAUUAGCUAUAGUUAACAGAUUAUUAAGUCAACUGGCUCCUAAGGAGAUGGUGAGAGAGGCCAUGUGGGUACACCAUGAGAAGUCUGUCAUCUACAGGAAAGGAAGAGAGCCCUCACAGGAAAGUGACUUUGCCAGACUUUGACCUGGAAUGUCUAUUCUCCAGAACUGGCUCCUUCUUCAUAGGCUGGGGGUGUUUACAAAGAGGAUAAUGGCAUUAAACCAGCAAGGAAGUGUUGCUCUCCAGGAUAGAAUGUACGAUUAGUAGAUGAGAAACUGAGAUGCAUGGAGCCUCAACAUGAAGAUGAUGAAAAUGGAGACCUUUAUCGUGAUCCACUUCUAAUUAAUGAAUAAGAGGAUUGGGCCAAGCUGGGUGAUCAGACAUCAUACACAGAGAAGAAGCAAGAGAGAGGAGGAACAAGGUGUGCAGUGGACAGCCAGUGCCAAGACCUCAGACAUAUGACAAGCAAUAGUAGCCAGAAUCCUGGAGUGAAUAGACAUGGAGCAGAGCUGCAUUUUCUUCUCAACUGACAAGUCAUGUAGAGGAAAUAAAUCCCUUGAGGACAGUGAAGAAAUAACUUUGAGAUCACCUUCCCAUCCUUCUGAUUUCUUCAAUGAAAGCUUAAAUGGAUUUUCAAAAAAUCAGAGAGCUUGGACAAAAAGUUGAAACAAGUUCAUAUCCUAAGCAUGAUGAAUAAGCCAUGGCAGCUUACACAGACUUGAAGGCCAAUCACCUAUGGGCUAGCACAAAGGAAUUCAGCCUUUUUUGAAGUGGGUGGUUUGACCUCUCUUUAUUGUGGAAGCAAAGCAAAUGGCCCCAAACCAUCUGGAUCUGCUGUUAUCACUAGACGAAUUAUUGCCCAGAAUGUGAAACAAAGGUUAGAAGACUUCACAUUGGAAUCCUGGGUCUGCCGUUAAAUAAUAAGGAACAAGCACUACCUCAUGGAGAGAUGGAAACUCCAAAAGAUUAAGCAAGAAGCCCAUAGGAACACAAUUAGUAGAGCACUGAAUAAUAUUUCACUGUACUGAUGUACCAAGUUUAUCCAUUCACCUACUGGAGGACAUCUUGGUUGUUCUAUGUUUUGGCAAUUAUGAAUAAAGCUGCUAUAAAUGUU